Molecule: ribosomal RNA, 458 nt
Filed under: uncultured bacterium
Lineage: Bacteria
Description: bacterial SSU rRNA
Rfam family: Bacterial small subunit ribosomal RNA
Source: RNAcentral
GAUGAACGCUGGCGGCGUGCUUAACACAUGCAAGUCGAACGGGAUCGGCUGGAGCUUGCUCCGGCCGUGAGAGUGGCGAACGGGUGAGUAAUGCGUGACCGACCUGCCCCAUACACCGGAAUAGCUCCUGGAAACGGGUGGUAAUGCCGGAUGCUCCAGUUGGAUGCAUGUCCUUCUGGGAAAGAUUCAUCGGUAUGGGAUGGGGUCGCGUCCUAUCAGGUAGUCGGCGGGGUAACGGCCCACCGAGCCUACGACGGGUAGCCGGCCUGAGAGGGCGACCGGCCACAUUGGGACUGAGAUACGGCCCAGACUCCUACGGGAGGCAGCAGUGGGGAAUAUUGCACAAUGGGCGCAAGCCUGAUGCAGCGACGCCGCGUGCGGGAUGACGGCCUUCGGGUUGUAAACCGCUUUUGACUGGGAGCAAGCCCUUCGGGGUGAGUGUACCUUUCGAAUAAGCA